CAGCCGCCGCGGUAAAACGUAUGUCACAAGCGUUAUCCGGAUUUAUUGGGCGUAAAGCGCGUCUAGGUGGUUAUGUAAGUCUGAUGUGAAAAUGCAGGGCUCAACUCUGUAUUGCGUUGGAAACUGUGUAACUAGAGUACUGGAGAGGUAAGCGGAACUACAAGUGUAGAGGUGAAAUUCGUAGAUAUUUGUAGGAAUGCCGAUGGGGAAGCCAGCUUACUGGACAGAUACUGACGCUAAAGCGCGAAAGCGUGGGUAGCAAACAGGAUUAGAGACCCGAGUAGUCCCUGUCUCUUAUACA
RNAcentral lists this ribosomal RNA (301 nucleotides) under uncultured bacterium. Its description in RNAcentral is "partial 16S ribosomal RNA". It matches the Rfam family "Bacterial small subunit ribosomal RNA", at positions 509 to 808 of the family's 1533-position model. The record is from RNAcentral.